UUUACCCCUCCUCCAUACUUGGUCGUUCACUAUGUGAAUUAUUAACAUUUAUAUACAUUUUAAAAAUAGAUUUUUUAUGCAAGUUAGGAUCAAUAACACUGCAAUAUUUUAUACAGUUAAGACGUUUUAAGUGUAGUUAUGAUAGAAACGGCAGAUGGGAGAUUGGUUUGUUUACCUGUAUGCGCAGAGGAUGGCGGAAGCAUCGUUUGAGGUUAAAUACGUAUUUCUUGCUUACUAUGUACGUAAUGACACUGUAAAGACCAAGAAGACUGGGAGAGUGUCAUCUUCUGGGAUGUGACGCCGUGUAGUCCGGUAAAAGUUCGCCGACGUUUCGGAUGAGUUUCUACCACGCUACAGGACAUCAUAUUGCAUAACCACCCCCAUAAGAACCUCAAAUCCAACAGAAGAUGACUUAAAUGAAUGCCUAAGAAGAACAGAAGACUGUGUAGUGAUAAAAACUCGAAUGUGACCUCACUGUAGGGUAUUAUGUUUACAGUUUGAUGCUGUGCGGGUGUUUGUUGGCCAGAAGGAAUAUCAAGGCGUAGGAAUGUGAGAAGAACGCUGAGCUGACACUUUCCAAGAACAGAACUGAUCUGUUUAGCCACAGAACGAAUUUGCUUGGUUGAUUAUUCCAGUAAGUGUUAGUGGUACUGCUCUUCAAGUCAGUAUGCAUGACCCGCAUGACCCACAAUUCUUUUCAAGUAAUUGCUGUCACUUAAGUAAAAGUAAUUAAAGUAAAGGUAUCCCUGUAACAGGCCGUGAAGGCCCAUAGGGUUGUGGGAUGUUGAGGUUCCCACAUA
Long non-coding RNA from Cryptotermes secundus, 800 nucleotides. RefSeq lists it as uncharacterized. The record is from RefSeq and is a predicted model, not a curated record. The transcript is spliced from 3 exons. Lineage: Eukaryota; Metazoa; Arthropoda; Insecta; Blattodea; Kalotermitidae.